GCCGGGUUAGCGAAGUAGUCAAACGCAAGUGACUGUAAAUCACUCGCCCUCGUGGCUUCGGGAGUGCAAAUCUCUCACCCGGCA
This 84-nucleotide transfer RNA is filed under the name Candidatus Berkelbacteria bacterium CG2_30_39_44. Its description in RNAcentral is "tRNA-Tyr". It matches the Rfam family "tRNA". Rfam says of the family: Transfer RNA (tRNA) molecules are approximately 80 nucleotides in length. Lineage: Bacteria; Candidatus Berkelbacteria. The record is from RNAcentral. RNAcentral also lists the same sequence under 6 other names.